Molecule: non-coding RNA, 275 nt
Organism: Pelobates cultripes (western spadefoot toad)
Lineage: Eukaryota; Metazoa; Chordata; Amphibia; Anura; Pelobatidae
Source: the annotation of a GenBank genome assembly
AAUGCAAAAUGUGUAUAGUGAAUGUAGUGUGAUUCUGGUGAAUGCAGAGCGUGUGUAUAGUAAAUGCAGUGUUUGUAGUGCAAAGUGUGUUUAGUAAAUGUAGUGAGUGCAACAUGUGUAUAGUGAAUGUAGUCUGGGUGUGUGUGUGUAUAGGGCAAAGUGUGUUUAGUGAAUGUAGUGUGUGUGUGUGUGUAGUGCAGAGUGUGUUUAGUAAAUGUAGUGUGUUUGUAGUGAGUGCAGAGUGUUUUUAGUGAAUGUAGUGUGUGUGUGUGUGU